RNAcentral lists this ribosomal RNA (525 nucleotides) under uncultured Glomeromycotina. RNAcentral's name for it is "SSU rRNA". It matches the Rfam family "Eukaryotic small subunit ribosomal RNA", at positions 571 to 1098 of the family's 1831-position model. The record is from RNAcentral. Lineage: Eukaryota; Fungi; Glomeromycota.
CAGCCGCGGUAAUUCCAGCUCCAAUAGCGUAUAUUAAAGUUGUUGCAGUUAAAAAGCUCGUAGUUGAAUUUCGGGAUCAAAGAAUCGGUCAUGCUUUGGUAUGUACUGGUUUUAUUGGUUCUCACCUUCUAAAGAACCAUAAUGUCAUUUAUUUGAUGUUAUGGGGAAUUAGGACUGUUACCUUGAAAAAAUUAGAGUGUUUAAAGCAAGCUUACGCUUGAAUACAUUAGCAUGGAAUAAUGAAAUAGGACAUCCGAUUCUAUUUUGUUGGUUUUCUAGGAUCGAUGUAAUGAUUAAUAGGGAUAGUUGGGGGCAUUAGUAUUCAAUUGUCAGAGGUGAAAUUCUUGGAUUUAUUGAAGACUAACUACUGCGAAAGCAUUUGCCAAGGAUGUUUCAUUAAUCAAGAACGAAAGUUAGGGGAUCGAAGACGAUCAGAUACCGUCGUAGUCUUAACCAUAAACUAUGCCGACUAGGGAUCGGAUGAUGUUAAUUUUAUAAUGACUCAUUUGGCACCUUACGGGAAAC